AUUGAACGCUGGCGGCAUGCCUUACACAUGCAAGUCGAACGGUAACGGGCCUUCGGGUGCCGACGAGUGGCGAACGGGUGAGUAAUACAUCGGAACGUGCCCAAUCGUGGGGGAUAACGAGGCGAAAGCUUUGCUAAUACCGCAUACGAUCUACGGAUGAAAGCAGGGGACCGCAAGGCCUUGCGCGGACGGAGCGGCCGAUGGCAGAUUAGGUAGUUGGUGGGAUAAAAGCUUACCAAGCCGACGAUCUGUAGCUGGUCUGAGAGGAUGAUCAGCCACACUGGGACUGAGACACGGCCCAGACUCCUACGGGAGGCAGCAGUGGGGAAUUUUGGACAAUGGGCGCAAGCCUGAUCCAGCCAUGCCGCGUGCAGGAUGAAGGCCUUCGGGUUGUAAACUGCUUUUGUACGGAACGAAAAGCCUUCUUUUAAUACAGGAGGGUCAUGACGGUACCGUAAGAAUAAGCACCGGCUAACUACGUG
This 482-nucleotide ribosomal RNA is filed under the name uncultured bacterium. RNAcentral's name for it is "partial 16S ribosomal RNA". It matches the Rfam family "Bacterial small subunit ribosomal RNA", at positions 30 to 507 of the family's 1533-position model. The record is from RNAcentral.